UGGAGGCUGGGCGUCGACGACGAUGUGCAGUGGUGUCGGGCUGUAGAGAUGCGGAAAUUACGGCUGGGGGACAUGGUGCGGAUGCGGAAAUUAUGCGUGAGGGGUGGGGAGAACAAAUUAACGUGGACUGUUAGAUGAACCUGAAUAGAUGGUUGAGAUCUAAUUUUCCUACGCAACUUCGUGCCUUUAUAAGUAGUAGAGAUAGAGAUAUAUAUGAUGGCUUUACAUCUCCCACGCAGCCAUACGAAGGGUUGUUUCGGCGAUUUUAAUGGCUUCUGUCGGUUCACUGUUGCGGUGGAUCCUAUAUUUGAGCCCCUCGGUUGCUUCUUCCUCAAAUCCCCCAAUCGCCUUUUGCUGUGCCCCCUCCUCUGUUGCCGGAUGACAACACUCGAUCCCCACAUCCGGCUAGCUGGUCAUCAUACGUGCGGUCUGAACUGAAUCAUACAGUAUGAGAAUCAAAGCUAAUCUUCAGCUCACAGAAGCAGUUUGUACGAGUUGAUCACACCAGUACGUCUGAGAAGAUGGUUUCUACAUUGGUCAAUUUAUUCAUAACGCCAUUCCUCCAGAGAAGAAGAUUUCUUAUAUCAGUUAUUUUUUUUCUGUACAGCAAAUCAGCAUACCCAUUCCGAAAGGUAUGUCUUUAGCAUGCAUUUUUUCCAUUGUUACUUCAGAUCAACUCUCUAUUUCAAAUUGUUAAAUGAAAUUUCAAUAUGAAAUAAUAAUCCUGUUGAUGUUGUAGAUAUCAGGCAUUUUCUAAUGAAUAAAGGUCACCAUGAUGGCUCUUGAUGUUGCAAAUCCCUGGGCAUGUUUUGAUGAAUUAAAGAUCGCCUUAAUGAUAAGUUACAACUAUAGAAUAGCCUAAUGUUGCAUUGCCAUAGGGUGGCUAUACCACCCCCUAGAGAGCCGCUCGAUUGAGCAUCUAGAUUCGAACAUGUUUCCUCCUACACAAUCUAAUUACCUGAAGCAUCAGCUGAACAUAUGCGUUAGGUGCAGCUCAUGUCAGUGUGAAUGGCCGGCACAUGCGGAGAUUGGCACGCAGUGGAAGUGGUCGUGUCAAGUCUAUACCUAAUAAUAAAGGGAAAAGCGUUUCCGUGGUUUCGUCCCGCGUUUCCGUCGUCCGUUGUUGGCUUCGUCCGUUGGCAGAGUUUCUAUUCAAACAAGCUACAGGCCCGAUCGUCCAGUUCUUACCAGGUCCGGUCUGCCUCUAAACAAAGUCUAAACCGCCAUAUAUACACCACGCUGGAUGGUGGUGUAUCCAGCGCCCAACUCCAGCACAGGUUCUGUCGUGAGUUGCAGAUCAACGAGUUCGGCGACUGUUUCUUCAUCAAGGAUCCGAGCGCCCAAAUCCAAACCGAACUCCUCUCCUAACUGCACGCCACCCCCUCUUCUACAUAUACAGGCGCCCCGUUGAUUUUGAUUGGAAUUUAUCCUGCCUGAUUUUGAUCUUGUCGCCACGGUCCCUGAAAAUCAAUCCGCGCGUGCCGCUCCGUUCUAGCGAGCGGCUCCCACCAUCGCGGCAGCUGGAAGGCGUGCCACGCCACCGCGAGCUCCAUCAACGCAGCGCGCGGAGCCACGCCGCUGGACAGGCCGCACGGUCAACGCCCUUGCUUGGAA
Molecule: long non-coding RNA, 1614 nt
Organism: Lolium perenne
Lineage: Eukaryota; Viridiplantae; Streptophyta; Magnoliopsida; Poales; Poaceae
Source: RefSeq, a predicted model, not a curated record